GGGAAUGUGGCUUAGUGGUAGAGCGCUUGUCUGGCAUGCAUGAAGCCCUGGAUUGGAUUCCUCAGUACCA
RNAcentral lists this transfer RNA (70 nucleotides) under Dipodomys ordii (Ord's kangaroo rat). It matches the Rfam family "tRNA". From Rfam's summary of the family: Transfer RNA (tRNA) molecules are approximately 80 nucleotides in length. Their secondary structure includes four short double-helical elements and three loops (D, anti-codon, and T loops). The record is from Rfam by way of RNAcentral. Lineage: Eukaryota; Metazoa; Chordata; Mammalia; Rodentia; Heteromyidae.